GCCAGAAUGGCUCAGUUGGUAAGAAUAUGAGACUCUUAAUCUCAGGGCCAUGGAUUCAAGUUGGGCAAAAAGAUUCCUGCA
Podarcis lilfordi (Lilford's wall lizard) is the source of this 81-nucleotide non-coding RNA. NCBI's taxonomy places the organism in Eukaryota, Metazoa, Chordata, Lepidosauria, Squamata, Lacertidae. The record is from the annotation of a GenBank genome assembly.